RNAcentral lists this ribosomal RNA (250 nucleotides) under uncultured bacterium. RNAcentral describes it as "partial 16S ribosomal RNA". It matches the Rfam family "Bacterial small subunit ribosomal RNA", at positions 524 to 773 of the family's 1533-position model. The record is from RNAcentral.
CACGGGGGGAGCAAACGUUGUUCGGAAUCACUGGGCGUAAAGGGCGCGUAGGCGGCUUCGUAAGUGGUGUGUGAAAUGUCCUGGCUCAACCAGGGAAUUGCGCUCCAAACUGCGAGGCUCGAGGGCAGUAGAGGAAGCUGGAAUUCCAGGUGUAGCGGUGAAAUGCGUAGAUAUCUGGAGGAACACCGUUGGCGAAGGCGAGCUUCUGGGCUGUCCCUGACGCUGAAGUGCGAAAGCUGGGGGAGCAAAC